AGAGUUUGAUCCUGGCUCAGGACGAACGCUGGCGGCGUGCUUAACACAUGCAAGUCGAACGGAGCGCCUAUGAAGGAGAUUUCGGUCAACGGAAUAGGUUGCUUAGUGGCGGACGGGUGAGUAACGCGUGAGGAACCUGCCUUUCAGAGGGGGACAACAGUUGGAAACGACUGCUAAUACCGCAUAACACAUAGGUGUCGCAUGGCAUUUAUGUCAAAGAUUUAUCGCUGAAAGAUGGCCUCGCGUCUGAUUAGCUAGUUGGUGAGGUAACGGCUCACCAAGGCGACGAUCAGUAGCCGGACUGAGAGGUUGGCCGGCCACAUUGGGACUGAGAUACGGCCCAGACUCCUACGGGAGGCAGCAGUGGGGAAUAUUGGGCAAUGGGCGCAAGCCUGACCCAGCAACGCCGCGUGAAGGAAGAAGGCUUUCGGGUUGUAAACUUCUUUUGACAGGGAAGAGUAGAAGACGGUACCUGUCGAAUAAGCCACGGCUAACUACGUGCCAGCAGCCGCGGUAAUACGUAGGUGGCAAGCGUUGUCCGGAUUUACUGGGUGUAAAGGGCGUGUAGCCGGGUUGACAAGUCAGAUGUGAAAUCCUGCGGCUUAACCGCAGAACUGCAUUUGAAACUGUUGAUCUUGAGUACCGGAGAGGCAGAC
Molecule: ribosomal RNA, 656 nt
Filed under: uncultured bacterium
Lineage: Bacteria
Description: bacterial SSU rRNA
Rfam family: Bacterial small subunit ribosomal RNA
Source: RNAcentral